AGGCAACGUGUUGUCGGUUCUCGUUUGUCUUGUCGGAAUUCGAUCCAAUACCUUGUUAGCAGAGAAUAUUUAAAGUGCAUAUAUCACAAUGACCAGUCAGAAACACGAAUUUAAAGUGGAAUUGACCUGCGAUGGAUGUUCUAGUACUGUAGAACAAGAACUAAGUGCACUGAAAUCAGAUGGAGUGACUGACUUCAAAGUUGAUUUAGCAGCCAAGAGAGUAUACAUCGAUUCAACUCUAACUUGUGACGAACUUCUGAAAAUCCUUCAGAAGACUGGAAAGUGCGCCA
Molecule: long non-coding RNA, 290 nt
Organism: Saccoglossus kowalevskii
Lineage: Eukaryota; Metazoa; Hemichordata; Enteropneusta; Harrimaniidae
Source: RefSeq, a predicted model, not a curated record